RNAcentral lists this ribosomal RNA (403 nucleotides) under uncultured bacterium. RNAcentral describes it as "SSU rRNA". It matches the Rfam family "Bacterial small subunit ribosomal RNA", at positions 945 to 1348 of the family's 1533-position model. The record is from RNAcentral.
UUUAAUUCGAUGCAACGCGAAAAACCUUACCCACCUUUGACAUGUACGGAACCCUUUAGAGAUAGAGGGGUGCUCGAAAGAGAGCCGUAACACAGGUGCUGCAUGGCUGUCGUCAGCUCGUGUCGUGAGAUGUUGGGUUAAGUCCCGCAACGAGCGCAACCCUUGUCAUUAGUUGCUACAUUCAGUUGGGCACUCUAAUGAGACUGCCGGUGACAAGCCGGAGGAAGGUGGGGAUGACGUCAAGUCCUCAUGGCCCUUAUAGGUGGGGCUACACACGUCAUACAAUGGCUGGUACAAAGGGUUGCCAACCCGCGAGGGGGAGCUAAUCCCACAAAGCCAGUCGUAGUCCGGAUCGUAGUCUGCAACUCGACUACGUGAAGUCGGAAUCGCUAGUAAUCGUGGA